GCUUAUGGCCACACCACCCUGAACACGCCCGAUCUCGUCUGAUGUCGGAAGAUAAAUGUUUUCUGUUUGGUGCUAGAAGCU
This 81-nucleotide ribosomal RNA is filed under the name Maylandia zebra (zebra mbuna). Lineage: Eukaryota; Metazoa; Chordata; Actinopteri; Cichliformes; Cichlidae. The record is from RNAcentral.